GACGAACGCUGGCGGCGUGCUUAACACAUGCAAGUCGAACGGAAAGGCCCUGCUUUUGUGGGGUGCUCGAUUGGCGAACGGGUGAGUAACACGUGAGUAACCUGCCCUUGACUUUGGGAUAACUUCAGGAAACUGGGGCUAAUACCGGAUAGGAGCUCCUGCUGCAUGUUGGGGGUUGGAAAGUUUCGGCGGUUGGGGAUGGACUCGCGGCUUAUCAGCUUGUUGGUGGGGUAGUGGCUUACCAAGGCUUUGACGGGUAGCCGGCCUGAGAGGGUGACCGGCCACAUGGGGACUGAGAUACGGCGCAGACUGCUACGGGAGGCAGCAGUGGGGAAUAUUGCACAAUGGGCGGAAGCCUGAUGCAGCAACGCCGCGUGCGGGAUGACGGCCUUCGGGUUGUAAACCGCUUUCGCCUGUGACGAAGCGUGAGUGACGGUAAUGGGUAAAGAAGCACCGGCUAACUACGUG
RNAcentral lists this ribosomal RNA (468 nucleotides) under uncultured bacterium. RNAcentral's name for it is "partial 16S ribosomal RNA". It matches the Rfam family "Bacterial small subunit ribosomal RNA", at positions 28 to 507 of the family's 1533-position model. The record is from RNAcentral.